GUGAGUAUAGUUUAACAGGCAAAACGCUUCAGUGUCAUUGAAGUAGAUGCGGGUUCGAGUCCCGUUGCUCUCG
Molecule: transfer RNA, 73 nt
Filed under: Rhodotorula toruloides
Lineage: Eukaryota; Fungi; Basidiomycota; Microbotryomycetes; Sporidiobolales; Sporidiobolaceae
Also listed under: 1 other name
Description: Rhodosporidium toruloides tRNA
Rfam family: tRNA
About the family: Transfer RNA (tRNA) molecules are approximately 80 nucleotides in length. Their secondary structure includes four short double-helical elements and three loops (D, anti-codon, and T loops).
Source: Rfam by way of RNAcentral